Non-coding RNA from Cinara cedri, 291 nucleotides. The record is from the annotation of a GenBank genome assembly. NCBI's taxonomy places the organism in Eukaryota, Metazoa, Arthropoda, Insecta, Hemiptera, Aphididae.
GUCGAAUCGGUUCCCGCUGUUCGUAAAACAGUCAAAUACGCACAUUUCCCUUCCCCUUCUUACAGGCUUAGGACUGUCGACUAAGAAUUAUUUAGUUUUUAUACUACAGAAACAUUUAUGUAUUUUAUAUUAUGUAGCCAUAAUAUAUUCUAGAUACGUGUAUCCGGACGGAUUGACGUUAAAUCUUAAUCGAUUACGGUAAUUCGGCAAUACGUCGAUUUAAAAGUAUUUUAUCACUUCGAUAACUAUCAAAUACCCGCCGCGCCGUAGUACCUACGAUAAAAGUUUAAA